RNAcentral lists this ribosomal RNA (482 nucleotides) under uncultured bacterium. RNAcentral's name for it is "partial 16S ribosomal RNA". It matches the Rfam family "Bacterial small subunit ribosomal RNA", at positions 30 to 505 of the family's 1533-position model. The record is from RNAcentral.
AUUGAACGCUGGCGGCAGGCCUAACACAUGCAAGUCGAGCGGAUGAAGGGAGCUUGCUCCUGGAUUCAGCGGCGGACGGGUGAGUAAUGCCUAGGAAUCUGCCUGGUAGUGGGGGAUAACGUCCGGAAACGGGCGCUAAUACCGCAUACGUCCUGAGGGAGAAAGUGGGGGAUCUUCGGACCUCACGCUAUCAGAUGAGCCUAGGUCGGAUUAGCUAGUUGGUGGGGUAAAGGCCUACCAAGGCGACGAUCCGUAACUGGUCUGAGAGGAUGAUCAGUCACACUGGAACUGAGACACGGUCCAGACUCCUACGGGAGGCAGCAGUGGGGAAUAUUGGACAAGGGGCGAAAGCCUGAUCCAGCCAUGCCGCGUGUGUGAAGAAGGUCUUCGGAUUGUAAAGCACUUUAAGUUGGGAGGAAGGGCAGUAAGUUAAUACCGUGCUGUUUUGACGUUACCAACAGAAUAAGCACCGGCUAACUUCG